Molecule: ribosomal RNA, 484 nt
Filed under: uncultured bacterium
Lineage: Bacteria
Description: partial 16S ribosomal RNA
Rfam family: Bacterial small subunit ribosomal RNA
Source: RNAcentral
GACGAACGCUGGCGGCGUGCUUAACACAUGCAAGUCGAACGAUGAAGCCGGAGCUUGCUCUGGUGAAUUAGUGGCGAACGGGUGAGUAACACGUGAGUAACCUGCCCUUGACUCUGGGAUAACUGCUAGAAAUGGUAGCUAAUACCGGAUACGACCCUCGGAGGCAUCUCCAGGGGGUGGAAAGAAUUUCGGUCAAGGAUGGACUCGCGGCCUAUCAGCUAGUUGGUGAGGUAGCGGCUCACCAAGGCGACGACGGGUAGCCGGCCUGAGAGGGUGACCGGCCACACGGGGACUGAGACACGGCCCAGACUCCUACGGGAGGCAGCAGUGGGGAAUAUUGCACAAUGGGCGCAAGCCUGAUGCAGCAACGCCGCGUGAGGAAUGACGGCCUUCGGGUUGUAAACCUCUUUUAGUAGGGAAGAAGCGAAAGUGACGGUACCUGCAGAAAAAGCACCGGCUAACUACGUGCCAGCAGCCGCCGUAA